GACGAACGCUGGCGGCGUGCUUAACACAUGCAAGUCGAACGGAAAGGCCCUGCUUUUGUGGGGUGCUCGAGUGGCGAACGGGUGAGUAACACGUGAGUAACCUGCCCUUGACUUUGGGAUAACUUCAGGAAACUGGGGCUAAUACCGGAUAGGAGCUCCUGCUGCAUGGUGGGGGUUGGAAAGUUUCGGCGGUUGGGGAUGGACUCGCGGCUUAUCAGCUUGUUGGUGGGGUAGUGGCUUACCAAGGCUUUGACGGGUAGCCGGCCUGAGAGGGUGACCGGCCACAUUGGGACUGAGAUACGGCCCAGACUCCUACGGGAGGCAGCAGUGGGGAAUAUUGCACAAUGGGCGGAAGCCUGAUGCAGCAACGCCGCGUGCGGGUUGACGGCCUUCGGGUUGUAAACCGCUUUCGCCUGUGACGAAGCGUGAGUGACGGUAAUGGGUAAAGAAGCACCGGCUAACUACGUG
Molecule: ribosomal RNA, 468 nt
Filed under: uncultured bacterium
Lineage: Bacteria
Description: partial 16S ribosomal RNA
Rfam family: Bacterial small subunit ribosomal RNA
Source: RNAcentral